AAGUCGUAACAAGGUCUCCGUAGGUGAACCUGCGGAGGGAUCAUUACAGAGAACAUCGCCCUCACGGGUGACUCUCCAACCCUUAUGUUAUUAAAACCUUUGUUGCUUUGGCGAGCCGCUUCGGCCACCGGCGUCUUGCUGGUGUGCGCUCGCCAGAGGACCCCAAACUCUUGUUUAUUAAUGUCGUCUGAGUACUAUAUAAUAGUUAAAACUUUCAACAACGGAUCUCUUGGUUCUG
This 238-nucleotide unclassified non-coding RNA is filed under the name air metagenome. RNAcentral's name for it is "partial contains small subunit ribosomal RNA, internal transcribed spacer 1, and 5.8S ribosomal RNA". The stretch from base 1 to 46 matches the Rfam family "Eukaryotic small subunit ribosomal RNA", at positions 1786 to 1831 of the family's 1831-position model. The record is from RNAcentral.